AGCGGCGAACGGGUGAGGAAUGCAUGGGUAACCUACCCUAGAGUGGGGAAUAACUAGCCGAAAGGUUAGCUAAUAUCGCAUACGAUUCCCGGACUUCGGUUCGGGAGGGAAAGCGAUACCGUGGGUAUCGCGCUCUUGGAUGGGCUCAUGUCCUAUCAGCUUGUUGGUGAGGUAAUGGCUCACCAAGGCUUCGACGGGUAGCUGGUCUGAGAGGACGAUCAGCCACACUGGCACUGCGACACGGGCCAGACUCCUACGGGAGGCAGCAGUAAGGAAUAUUGCGCAAUGGACGAAAGUCUGACGCAGCGACGCCGCGUGGGGGAUGAAGGUCUUCGGAUUGUAAACCCCUUUCGGCAGGGAAGAUGGAACGGGUAACCGUUCGGACGGUACCUGCAGAAGCAGCCACGGCUAACUUCGUGCCAGCAGCCGCGGUAAUACGAAGGUGGCAAGCGUUGUUCGGAUUCACUGGGCGUACAGGGAGCGUAGGCGGUUGGGUAAGCCCUCCGUGAAAUCUCCGGGCCUAACCCGGAAAGUGCAGAGGGGACUGCUCGGCUAGAGGAUGGGAGAGGAGCGCGGAAUUCCCGGUGUAGCGGUGAAAUGCGUAGAGAUCGGGAGGAAGGCCGGUGGCGAAGGCGGCGCUCUGGAACAUUUCUGACGCUGAGGCUCGAAAGCGUGGGGAGCAAACAGGAUUAGAUACCCUGGUAGUCCACGCCUUAAACUAUGGAUACUAAG
This 732-nucleotide ribosomal RNA is filed under the name uncultured bacterium. RNAcentral's name for it is "bacterial SSU rRNA". It matches the Rfam family "Bacterial small subunit ribosomal RNA", at positions 94 to 820 of the family's 1533-position model. The record is from RNAcentral.